CACGUAGGGCGCAAGCGUUGUCCGGAAUUAUUGGGCGUAAAGAGCUCAUAGGUGGUUUGCUGCGUCCGCUGUGAAAACCCAAGGCUUAACCUUGGGCUUGCAGUGGAUACGGGCAGACUAGAGGUAGGUAGGGGAGAAUGGAAUUCCCGGUGUAGCGGUGAAAUGCGCAGAUAUCGGGAGGAACACCGGUGGCGAAGGCGGUUAGCUGGGCAGUUGCUGACACUGAGGCGCGACAGCGUGGGGAGCAAACAGG
This 253-nucleotide ribosomal RNA is filed under the name uncultured bacterium. RNAcentral's name for it is "partial 16S ribosomal RNA". It matches the Rfam family "Bacterial small subunit ribosomal RNA", at positions 524 to 776 of the family's 1533-position model. The record is from RNAcentral.